CCCAGCAACAAAGAAUGUACCGUAGAUUAGGCCUGGCUUGCAAAACAUUUUUUUUUAAAGAGACACAGCCCAGUCCUUUUAUGGGGUCCUGGAAAAACGGUGGGUGACUGAGUUAAAAAGCACAGAACACCCGCUGUCAACACUCCGUGACCUUCCUUGGCUCAUCAGUUCUCCUAAGGACAAGAACUUUCCGGACUGUGUUUUCUGGUUCUCAUCCUGGCUAUCCGGGUGUUGUUGCCCGACACCUUUGGUAAAGGAAAGGCAAUGCCCAGGUCACCUUCGCUGGAAGCAGCCUCAGCACCCAGACGUUCUCUUCAAGGGGGUCUCUUAUUCCAAGGCCUUUGUGGAUCCAAAGAAACACCUUUUUUCCUCAGAGGCUAGACAUUUCCUUUUAUCCCUCGACUGAUUCUUCAUUUCAGCCAUGUUAGGAAGGCUUCCUUGUCUCAGUUGGAGACUAGGAGCCGCUUCAAAGACAAACAGCUAAAGAACAAAAGCAGGAGAUGGGCCAGCUGGG
This 514-nucleotide long non-coding RNA is filed under the name Rattus norvegicus (Norway rat). RNAcentral's name for it is "long non-coding RNA NONRATT032502". Lineage: Eukaryota; Metazoa; Chordata; Mammalia; Rodentia; Muridae. The record is from RNAcentral.